GGAUUGUGGCUCAGUGGUAGAACGCUCAUUUAGCACAUGCGAAGCCCUGGGUUCGAUCCUCAGCACCA
Molecule: transfer RNA, 68 nt
Filed under: Marmota monax (woodchuck)
Lineage: Eukaryota; Metazoa; Chordata; Mammalia; Rodentia; Sciuridae
Description: tRNA.Ala
Source: RNAcentral